CGCGUAGGAAACUGCCUAGUAGUGGGGGAUAGCCCAGAGAAAUUUGGAUUAAUACCGCAUACGCCCUACGGGGGAAAGGGGGCGUUCGGCUCUCGCUAUUAGAUGUGCCUGCGUAAGAUUAGCUUGUUGGUGAGGUAAUGGCUCACCAAGGCGACGAUCUUUAGCUGGUCUGAGAGGAUGAUCAGCCACACUGGAACUGAGACACGGCCCAGACUCCUACGGGAGGCAGCAGUGGGGAAUUUUCCGCAAUGGGCGAAAGCCUGACGGAGCAACGCCGCGUGAGGGAUGAAGGCCUCUGGG
RNAcentral lists this ribosomal RNA (300 nucleotides) under uncultured Oleiphilaceae bacterium. Its description in RNAcentral is "bacterial SSU rRNA". It matches the Rfam family "Bacterial small subunit ribosomal RNA", at positions 114 to 422 of the family's 1533-position model. Lineage: Bacteria; Pseudomonadati; Pseudomonadota; Gammaproteobacteria; Oceanospirillales; Oleiphilaceae. The record is from RNAcentral.